Paenibacillus sabinae T27 is the source of this 364-nucleotide non-coding RNA. Lineage: Bacteria; Bacillati; Bacillota; Bacilli; Caryophanales; Paenibacillaceae. The record is from Rfam.
GGGGCCGUUUUUGGAUUCGACGGGGGUAGUUCGAGCAUGGGUAGCGAGUAGUGGGGACGCGUCCGCUUCAUCAACGCUAAAGCCAAUUAAACGGCAAACAAAACAACAACUUAGCUUUCGCAGCUUAAUAACCUGUGAGCUAGCUCCUACCUUCCAUCGCCCAUGUGGCGGGCUAGGGGCUCAACUUUAGUGGGAUACGCCGCUUGGUCUCCGCCUGGGGUCAACGGAAGAAGAUAAUCAGGCUGACCCGAAGGGAAUCCGGUGACAGGGAGUCUCUAGGGUGACAUCAAAUCUGUCACUACACUCGUAGAAGCUUAUGUGGCGUUAUCUUCGGACAGGGGUUCGACUCCCCUCGGCUCCAUAU